This is an RNA transcript of Otolemur garnettii (small-eared galago), 307 nucleotides long. It is a transcript of the gene named 60S ribosomal protein L36a-like, with no coding region annotated. The record is from RefSeq and is a predicted model, not a curated record. Lineage: Eukaryota; Metazoa; Chordata; Mammalia; Primates; Galagidae. The transcript has a single exon.
AACAUGGUGAACGUUCCUAAAACCUGCCGACUUUCUGUAAGAAGUGUGGCAAGCACCAGCCCCACAAAGUGACACAGUACAAGAAGGGCAAGGACUCUAUGCCCAGGGAAAGCGGCAUUAUGACAGGAAGCAGAGUGGCUAUGGUGGGCAGACUAAGCCGAUUUUCUGGCAAAAGGCUAAAACUACAAAGAAGAUUGUGCUGAGGCUUGAGUGUGUGGAGCCCAACUGCAGAUCUAAGAGAAUGCUAGCUAUUAAGAGAUGUAAGCAUUUUGAACUGGGAGGAAAUAAGAAGAGAAAGGGUCAAGUG